Molecule: ribosomal RNA, 756 nt
Filed under: uncultured bacterium
Lineage: Bacteria
Description: bacterial SSU rRNA
Rfam family: Bacterial small subunit ribosomal RNA
Source: RNAcentral
AGAGUUUGAUCCUGGCUCAGGACGAGCGCUGGCGGCGUGCCUAACACAUGCAAGUCGAACGAGAAUCUACUUAUGAAAUUUUCGGAUGGAUUAGGUAGAGGAAAGUGGCGAACGGGUGAGUAACGCGUGAGCAAUCUGCCUUGUACUGGGGGAUAACGUCGGGAAACCGGCGCUAAUACCGCAUAAUACUAUGAGAUCGCAUGGUCAUAUAGUCAAAACUCCGGUAGUACAAGAUGAGCUCGCGUCCAAUUAGCUAGUUGGUGGGGUAAUGGCCCACCAAGGCGACGAUUGGUAGCCGAACUGAGAGGUUGAUCGGCCACAUUGGGACUGAGACACGGCCCAGACUCCUACGGGAGGCAGCAGUGGGGAAUAUUGCGCAAUGGAGGGAACUCUGACGCAGCAACGCCGCGUGAAGGAUGAAGGUUUUCGGAUUGUAAACUUCUUUGAUCGGGGACGAAAUUGACGGUACCCGAGGAACAAGCCACGGCUAACUACGUGCCAGCAGCCGCGGUAAUACGUAGGUGGCAAGCGUUGUCCGGAAUUACUGGGUGUAAAGGGCGUGUAGGCGGGAAGGCAGGUCAGAUGUGAAAGCCCAUGGCUUAACUGUGGAAUUGCAUCUGAAACUGUUUUUCUUGAGUGCUGGAGAGGAAAGUGGAAUUCCUAGUGUAGCGGUGAAAUGCGUAGAGAUUAGGAGGAACACCAGUGGCGAAGGCGGCUUUCUGGACAGUAACUGACGCUGAGGCGCGAAGCGUGGGG